CCUGAACGCUGGCGGCGUGGCUAAGACAUGCAAGUCGCACGGUGUAGCAAUACACAGUGGCGAACGGGUGAGUAAUGAAUCGCUAAUGUACCCCGACUCUGGGAGUAGCUAGCCGAAAGGUUAAGGGUAAUAACCAGAUGAUAUACUUCUAUCGCAUGAUAGAAGUACUCAAAGGUACCGCCGGUCUGGAGGCAGGCGAUUUCGUUAUCAGCUAG
Molecule: ribosomal RNA, 215 nt
Filed under: uncultured bacterium
Lineage: Bacteria
Description: partial 16S ribosomal RNA
Rfam family: Bacterial small subunit ribosomal RNA
Source: RNAcentral